This 558-nucleotide long non-coding RNA is filed under the name Nicotiana benthamiana. Its description in RNAcentral is "long non-coding RNA (NBEN_LNC036027)". The record is from RNAcentral. Lineage: Eukaryota; Viridiplantae; Streptophyta; Magnoliopsida; Solanales; Solanaceae.
UUGCGAGGAGUUUCAUCGAACGGUAAGGGAAGUCGCGGUCGGAGAGAACGGAGAGAAACUCUUGACCGACCGCUCCGGUGACGCCGACGACGGCGACGGAUGGGCCGUUCUCUUGGAGAGACAUGCGGACGCGGAAAGGCGAGGUGGAGGUGGUGAUGGAGCGUGGUCGUGGAAUGGUGGUGCCGCCGCGGUAGAGGAAAUGGUUGUGGCGGACAGAAAGUGCUGGAGUGUUCAUUUUUGCGGGAAGCGGCGGCGGACUCAAGGGCGGCUCAACGUUAAGGCAAGUGAAGCCCUUACCUGAGGCGCCCAAAUAUUCUCCGACGACGGCGACGGAUGGGCCGUUCUCUUGGAGAGACAUGCGGACGCGGAAAGGGGAGGUGGAAGUGGUGAUGGAGCGUGGUCGUGGAAUGGCCGUGGCGCCGCCGUGGAGGAAAUGGUUGUGGCGGACAGAAAGUGCUGGAGUGUUCAUUUUUGCGGGAAGCGACGGUGGACUAAAGGGCGGCUCAAGGUUAAGGCAAGAGAUGCCCUUCCUUAGGCGCCCAAAUAUUUAAGGUCCCC